RNAcentral lists this ribosomal RNA (527 nucleotides) under Pseudoalteromonas sp. Its description in RNAcentral is "bacterial SSU rRNA". It matches the Rfam family "Bacterial small subunit ribosomal RNA", at positions 380 to 898 of the family's 1533-position model. The record is from RNAcentral. Lineage: Bacteria; Pseudomonadati; Pseudomonadota; Gammaproteobacteria; Alteromonadales; Pseudoalteromonadaceae.
AGCCUGAUGCAGCCAUGCCGCGUGUGUGAAGAAGGCCUUCGGGUUGUAAAGCACUUUCAGUCAGGAGGAAAGGUUAAGUAGUUAAUACCUGCUAGCUGUGACGUUACUGACAGAAGAAGCACCGGCUAACUCCGUGCCAGCAGCCGCGGUAAUACGGAGGGUGCGAGCGUUAAUCGGAAUUACUGGGCGUAAAGCGUACGCAGGCGGUUUGUUAAGCGAGAUGUGAAAGCCCCGGGCUCAACCUGGGAACUGCAUUUCGAACUGGCAAACUAGAGUGUGAUAGAGGGUGGUAGAAUUUCAGGUGUAGCGGUGAAAUGCGUAGAGAUCUGAAGGAAUACCGAUGGCGAAGGCAGCCACCUGGGUCAACACUGACGCUCAUGUACGAAAGCGUGGGGAGCAAACAGGAUUAGAUACCCUGGUAGUCCACGCCGUAAACGAUGUCUACUAGAAGCUCGGAGCCUCGGACUCUGUUUUUCAAAGCUAACGCAUUAAGUAGACCGCCUGGGGAGUACGGCCGCAAGGUUAAA